AACGCCAGUUCCCGAAGGAUUCACUUCAUUUUGCUCAUUCAUCGUGUACACUCAAUUGGCUUUCUGUGAUGCCUCAAGAGAUACUAGAUAACUCUUCUCCUGCAUGGAAUCAAGGAAAAAUUAUGUAUUCUGGAGAGAAAAAGGAAGUGUUAAAUGCUUAUGCACUCCAGUAUGCUAAGGAUUUGGACUCGUUUUUUAAAGCAAGGGCACAAGAGUUGGUUUGUGGAGGCUUAAUGGCACUUGUUGUUCCAACUGUGCCUAACCCUAAUCAUGAUUUAUCUAGUAUCACUUUCCCUUCAUACGAUCUUCUGGGGACUUGUCUUAUUGAGUUGGCCGAGAGGGUACUAUAAAGAACUGAACUGAGUAUUAUAUAGUAACUUAUUGAAGAAGUCAUUAAUGUUCUUUCUUGUUGCAGGGACGAUUCGAUGCAGCCAAAGUAGACUCGUUCAACUUGCCUGUAUAUUACACAUAUCCAAAUGAAUUGAAGGCCAUAAUUGAGAAAAAUCAAGAUUUUCGUAUUGAGAGAAUAGAGGUACUAAACAUCCCGAGCAAGCAUCACACGAAUCCGGACCCCAAAGCAUAUUCCCUGACCCAAAGAGCUGUUUUCGAGGGACUAUUACAAGAACAUUUUGGAAGUGAAUUCAUGGAUGAACUGUUCGACCUAUACACAGAAAAAAUUGAAGAAACUGCAGUUCUAUUGAAUCCUAAAGAGACAUCUAUGGUCACGUUUGUCCUCCUUAAACGUGUUUUUAGAAUGACUUGACCUCGUAGUACUUGCGGAGUCAAAUCAUGGUUCACUGCAAGAAUUUUCUUUUCUUUUCUUCUUUUGCAUUUCUCUUUGAAUUUCAAUGUGAUUACCAUUUUCUGUUGCUGCACUAAUUGGAAAAUAAAACUCAGUGGCAACUAAGAUGCUUUGUAUCUUGAUCUUGAAAUAUGUGAUUUAUUUUAAUUAAAUUAC
RNAcentral lists this long non-coding RNA (958 nucleotides) under Olea europaea (common olive). RNAcentral describes it as "long non-coding RNA (OEUR_LNC014844)". The record is from RNAcentral. Lineage: Eukaryota; Viridiplantae; Streptophyta; Magnoliopsida; Lamiales; Oleaceae.